GACGAACGCUGGCGGCGUGCUUAACACAUGCCAGUCGAACGGAAAGGCCCUGCUUGCCGGGUACUCGAGUGGCGAACGGGUGAGUAACACGUGGGUGAUCUGCCCUGCACUUCGGGAUAAGCCUGGGAAACUGGGUCUAAUACCGGAUAGGAGCCAUUUUUAGUGUGAUGGUUGGAAAGUUUUUUCGGUGUAGGAUGAGCUCGCGGCCUAUCAGCUUGUUGGUGGGGUAAUGGCCUACCAAGGCGGCGACGGGUAGCCGGCCUGAGAGGGUGGACGGCCACAUUGGGACUGAGAUACGGCCCAGACUCCUACGGGAGGCAGCAGUGGGGAAUAUUGCACAAAGGGCGCAAGCCUGAUGCAGCGACGCCGCGUGGGGGAUGACGGCCUUCGGGUUGUAAACUCCUUUCGCUAGGGACGAAGCUUUUUGUGACGGUACCUAGAUAAGAAGCACCGGCUAACUACGUG
This 465-nucleotide ribosomal RNA is filed under the name uncultured bacterium. RNAcentral's name for it is "partial 16S ribosomal RNA". It matches the Rfam family "Bacterial small subunit ribosomal RNA", at positions 28 to 507 of the family's 1533-position model. The record is from RNAcentral.